UGGUCAAGUUAUUAAGGGUGCAGGGUGGAUGCCUUGGCACUAGGAGCCGAUGAAGGACGUGAUAAGCUGCGAUAAGCUUCGGGGAGUUGCACGUAAACUUUGAUCCGAAGAUUUCCGAAUGAGGAAACUCACUUAGAGUAAUGUCUAAGUAUCAUUAAGUGAAUACAUAGCUUAAUGAGGGGAACUCAGGGAACUGAAACAUCUAAGUACCUGAAGGAAGAGAAAGAAAUUCGAUUCCGUAAGUAGCGGCGAGCGAACGCGGAUUAGCCCAAACCAAUAAAGUUUUCUUUAUUGGGGUUGCGGACAUAUCAUAACGAAGAGGUAUCGUAAUUGAAGAGGUUUGGAAAGACCCACCACAGAAGGUAAUAGUCCUGUAUGUUAAACGAGAAGACUUCAGAUAUGAUCCAGAGUACCACGGGACACGUGAAACCCUGUGGGAAGCAGGAGGGACCACCCUCCAAGGCUAAAUACUACCU
This 476-nucleotide ribosomal RNA is filed under the name Clostridioides difficile. RNAcentral describes it as "partial 23S ribosomal RNA". It matches the Rfam family "Bacterial large subunit ribosomal RNA", at positions 1 to 478 of the family's 2925-position model. The record is from RNAcentral. Lineage: Bacteria; Bacillati; Bacillota; Clostridia; Peptostreptococcales; Peptostreptococcaceae.